Molecule: ribosomal RNA, 488 nt
Filed under: uncultured bacterium
Lineage: Bacteria
Description: partial 16S ribosomal RNA
Rfam family: Bacterial small subunit ribosomal RNA
Source: RNAcentral
AUUGAACGCUGGCGGCAGGCCUAACACAUGCAAGUCGAACGGUAGCACAGAGAGCUUGCUCUCGGGUGACGAGUGGCGGACGGGUGAGUAAUGUCUGGGAAACUGCCCGAUGGAGGGGGAUAACUACUGGAAACGGUAGCUAAUUCCGCAUAAUGUCGCAAGACCAUAGAGGGGGACCUUCGGGCCUCUUGCCAUCGGAUGUGCCCAGAUGGGAUUAGCUUGUUGGUGAGGUAAUGGCUCACCAAGGCGACGAUCCCUAGCUGGUCUGAGAGGAUGACCAGCCACACUGGAACUGAGACACGGUCCAGACUCCUACGGGAGGCAGCAGUGGGGAAUAUUGCACAAUGGGCGCAAGCCUGAUGCAGCCAUGCCGCGUGUGUGAAGAAGGCCUUCGGGUUGUAAAGCACUUUCAGCGGGGAGGAAGGCGAUACGGUUAAUAACCGUGUUGAUUGACGUUACCCGCAGAAGAAGCACCGGCUAACUCCGUG